CCUCAAGGGCAUCCAAGAUGAGGUGUCUUUGUUUCCGCAGUAGUUUCAAUUUUGAUAUUUUUAGGUCAAACCGUUCUUGUCUGUCAGUCAUAUAAUGCAGGUCUAUGGUCACCACCUCAAAGAGCAUGCACAGAGAAGUCCAAAUUAAACAUGAUUUAAUGACUCGUAAAUGUAAGCACACAUUGAUGGCCUAAGACACGAAACGAGUGCUUUCCGGCGCUUGCGCAGACCGAAGCGCCCGCGCCCUCAGAUCACUUGGACGUGGCUGUGGUUACAAGAGGUAAAAAC
Long non-coding RNA from Rhinichthys klamathensis goyatoka, 288 nucleotides. RefSeq lists it as uncharacterized. Lineage: Eukaryota; Metazoa; Chordata; Actinopteri; Cypriniformes; Leuciscidae. The transcript is spliced from 2 exons. The record is from RefSeq and is a predicted model, not a curated record.